UGGCAACGGACAAUUAUUUGUUGUUGGAGUAAAUGAGUUUUGGGAUUUCCAGCAAGGGUUCCUGGUUUUGAACCUUUACCAUGGCAGUGCCACUACAUAACCGUUUCCAGGCUCUAGUUAGUUUAAAUGAUGAGGGGAUGGUAAGACAGGUGAACAAAUUGGCGGCCUUUAUUAAACCCUCCUCGCCUAACCAACAGACCCUGGCAAAGGCCCAUUCCAGUUAUGCGGCUGCGGUGACCAGCAAGUCACCAACUGGUAGGGUCUCAAUGGGAGCCCAGGCCAUAGGGACUUUGGAAUAUGCAGGAAUAUCCCAGGGGGCCAGAGUGACACUUCGGUCCUGCAAAGAGUGGCGGGACUAGCUUCAGACUUACCCCAAUAACCAGGAAGAGCACGGGGAUACCGAAUCCCCAAACUCAGCGACCAAGAAACAAUUUGGCCGAGCCUAAAGUCCCAGCCUUGACCCUUCCAGGUUCACAGCAAGAGGACCAUCAGGGUAAGGUAGCAAUGGCAAAUGGAAAAGACACGGGCCCUGGGACAGAACCAAUACUGGAACCUGUAA
Molecule: long non-coding RNA, 559 nt
Organism: Coregonus clupeaformis (lake whitefish)
Lineage: Eukaryota; Metazoa; Chordata; Actinopteri; Salmoniformes; Salmonidae
Exons: 6
Source: RefSeq, a predicted model, not a curated record